Molecule: non-coding RNA, 741 nt
Filed under: Eustenogaster scitula
Lineage: Eukaryota; Metazoa; Arthropoda; Insecta; Hymenoptera; Vespidae
Source: RNAcentral
UUUUUGUUUAAGGAUUAAUUUUUAUAUUAUUGUAUAUAUAAAUAUAAAAGAUUUAAAUAAUUUUAAUAAAUAAAUUAAUAUAUAAAUUUAUACUAUUAAUGAAAAUUAUAUAUAGAAAAUAUAUUAAAAAUUUAAUAAAUUAGUGCCAGCAUUAGCGGUUAUACUAAUAAUUUAAAUUAAUUUUUAAAAAUUUGUUAUUUAAAUUAAUUUAUGUUUUUUAUAAAUAAUUUUAUUUAGUGAAAUAUAUUUAAAAUUAUAAUAAAAAAUUAAUUUUAUUGAAAUAAUAAAUUUUAUAUAAAAUUAGGAUUAGAUACCCUAUUAUAAAAAUGUAAAAUAAAAAAUUUAAGUAUUAAAUGUAAAUCAUUAAAUAUAAUAAAUUUGGCGGUAUUUAAUUUAAGUUAGAGGAAUAUGUAAAUAUAAAUUGAUAAUCCACGAUAAGAUAAACUUUAUAUAAAUUUUUAGGUAUUGUUGUUUAAAUAGAUUUUUUAGAGGAAAUUUUAGUAAUAUAUUUAAAAAUAAUAAUUCAAAUCAAUGUUUAGAAUUAUAAAGAAUUUAUGUAUUACAAUUAUAUAUGAUAUUGGAUUAUAUAUUUUAAUAUAUAUAUAAAAUUGGAUUUAAAAGUAAAAUUUUUAAAUUUAAAAAUUUGAAAUAUAUUUUUAAAUAUGUACAAAUUGCCCGUCACUCUGUAAAAGGAUAAGUCGUAACAAAGUAAAUGUACUGGAAAGUGUAUUUAGAUUUAUA